This 421-nucleotide ribosomal RNA is filed under the name uncultured bacterium. Its description in RNAcentral is "bacterial SSU rRNA". It matches the Rfam family "Bacterial small subunit ribosomal RNA", at positions 355 to 774 of the family's 1533-position model. The record is from RNAcentral.
UGAGGAAUAUUGGUCAAUGGGCGAGAGCCUGAACCAGCCAAGUCGCGUGAGGGAAGAAUGGUCUAUGGCCUGUAAACCUCUUUUGUCAGGGAAGAAUAAGCGGCACGUGUGCCGUGAUGCCAGUACUUGACGAAUAAGCAUCGGCUAACUCCGUGCCAGCAGCCGCGGUAACACGGGGGAUGCGAGCGUUAUCCGGAUUUAUUGGGUUUAAAGGGCGCGUAGGCGGGAUGCCAAGUCAGCGGUAAAAGACUGCAGCUAAACUGUAGCACGCCGUUGAAACUGGUGACCUCGAGACGAGUCGAGGAUGGCGGAACAAGUGAAGUAGCGGUGAAAUGCUUAGAUAUCACUUGGAACCCCGAUAGCGAAGGCAGCUGUCCAGACUCGAUCUGACGCUGAUGCGCGAGAGCGUGGGUAGCGAACA